GUUUACUGUGGCUGCACAUAUUUUAAAGUUGGAAUGAUGCAGAGAAGAUCAUCACAGUCCCUGAGAAAGAAUGACACGUAAUAGUGGGUCCAACAAUGGCUGAUU
This is a small nuclear RNA of Ochotona princeps (American pika), 105 nucleotides long. Lineage: Eukaryota; Metazoa; Chordata; Mammalia; Lagomorpha; Ochotonidae. The record is from RefSeq and is a predicted model, not a curated record.